UUAAGUUCAGCGGGUAGUCCUACCUGAUUUGAGGUCAGAUUUCAAAGUGCUUCAAAAGCUUGACCGCCGACUCCAGAAUGGGGGCGGUCGUGGGAGGGCACAUUAAUGGGGGAACAUCUCGGGAUAAGAGCGAGGAUGGUACAACGCCCAACCGAGUUCGACCCGCAGGCCCAACCGAUGCAUUUGAGGGGAGCAGCCUC
Molecule: unclassified non-coding RNA, 200 nt
Filed under: Trechispora sp.
Lineage: Eukaryota; Fungi; Basidiomycota; Agaricomycetes; Trechisporales; Hydnodontaceae
Description: partial internal transcribed spacer 2
Source: RNAcentral